UCCCUAGUAGCUCAGUCGGUUAAGAAUCUGUUUGCAAUGCAGGAGACCCAGGUUCAACCCCUGGAUCAGGAA
This 72-nucleotide transfer RNA is filed under the name Ovis aries (sheep). It matches the Rfam family "tRNA". Rfam says of the family: Transfer RNA (tRNA) molecules are approximately 80 nucleotides in length. Their secondary structure includes four short double-helical elements and three loops (D, anti-codon, and T loops). The record is from Rfam by way of RNAcentral. Lineage: Eukaryota; Metazoa; Chordata; Mammalia; Artiodactyla; Bovidae.